UCCCACAUUUGAAAGUGGUCAUGGGCUGCUAAUGCCCUGGUCAUUGAUAGUGCAGGGAGAGGAAUCGCUGGAAGACAUUGUCCCCAUGUUUGGAGGGUCUACCCAUCCCUUCCAAACCCUGUAGCUUUCCCACA
Molecule: small nucleolar RNA, 134 nt
Organism: Ictidomys tridecemlineatus (thirteen-lined ground squirrel)
Lineage: Eukaryota; Metazoa; Chordata; Mammalia; Rodentia; Sciuridae
Gene: SNORA71
Rfam family: Small nucleolar RNA SNORA71
About the family: The members of this family belong to the H/ACA class of snoRNAs which bind a number of proteins (including dyskerin, Gar1p and Nop10p) to form snoRNP complexes. This class of snoRNAs are thought to guide the sites of modification of uridines to pseudouridines by forming direct base pairing interactions with substrate RNAs. This family includes U71 (SNORA71), ACA39 (SNORA39) and ACA60 (SNORA60).
Source: Ensembl